AAAUCAGGUAGGACUACCCGCUGAACUUAAGCAUAUCAAUAAGCGGAGGAAAAGAAACUAACAAGGAUUCCCCUAGUAACUGCGAGUGAAGCGGGAAAAGCUCAAAUUUGAAAUCUGGCAGUUCUUUUGACUGUCCGAGUUGUAAUCUAGAGAAGUGUUACCUGUGCUGGACCAUGUACAAGUCUUCUGGAAUGGGGCAUCAUAGAGGGUGAGAAUCCCGUCUUUGACAUGGACUACCAGUGCACUGUGGUGCGCUCUCAAAGAGUCGAGUUGUUUGGGAAUGCAGCUCAAAAUGGGUGGUAAAUGCCAUCUAAAGCUAAAUAUUGGCGAGAGACCGAUAGCGAACAAGUACGGUGAGGGAAAGAUGAAGAGAACUUUGGAAAGAGAGUUAAACAGUACGUGAAAUUGCUGAAAGGGAAACGCUUGAAGUCAGUCACGUUGGCUAGAAAUCAGCCUUGCUUUUGCUUGGUGUACUUUCUGGUUGACGGGUCAGCAUCGAUUCUUGACCAUUGGAUAAAGUCUUUGGGAAUGUGGCAUCUUUGGAUGUGUUAUAGCCCAUUGUCGCAUAUGAUGGUUGGGAUCGAGGAACUCAGCACGCCGCAAGGCCGGGUUUAUACCACGUUCAUGCUUAGGAUGCUGGCAUAAU
This 646-nucleotide ribosomal RNA is filed under the name uncultured Basidiomycota. RNAcentral describes it as "LSU rRNA". It matches the Rfam family "Eukaryotic large subunit ribosomal RNA", at positions 8 to 635 of the family's 3401-position model. Lineage: Eukaryota; Fungi; Basidiomycota. The record is from RNAcentral.